RNAcentral lists this long non-coding RNA (623 nucleotides) under Salmo salar (Atlantic salmon). Its description in RNAcentral is "lncRNA (ENSSSAG00000116539.1)". The record is from RNAcentral. Lineage: Eukaryota; Metazoa; Chordata; Actinopteri; Salmoniformes; Salmonidae.
GUUAGUAGUAGACUGUCAGGGGAGAGUGGUCUGAGGUUAGUAGUAGACUGUCAGGGGAGAGUGGCAUGGGGUUAGCAGUAGACUGUCAGGGGAGAGUGGUCUGAGGUUAGUAGUAGACUGUCGGGGAGAGUGGCAUGGGGUUAGUAGUAGACUGUCAGGGGAGAGUGGUCUGAGGUUAGUAGUAGACUGUCAGGGGAGAGUGGUCUGGGGUUAGUAGUAGACUGUCAGGGGAGAGUGGUCUGGGGUUAGUAGUAGACUGUCAGGGGAGAGUGGUCUGGGGUUAGUAGUAGACUGUCAGGGGAGAGUGGUCUGAUGUUAGUAGUAGACUGUCAGGGGAGAAUGGUCUGGGGUUAGUAGUAGACUGUCAGGGGAGAGUGGUCUGAGGUUAGUAGUAGACUGUCAGGGGAGAGUGGUCUGGGGUUAGCAGUAGACUGUCAGGGGAGAGUGGUCUGAGGUUAGUAGUAGACUGUCAGGGGAGAGUGGUCUGAGGUUAGUAGUAGACUGUCAGGGGAGAGUGGUCUGGGGUUAGUAGUAGACUGUCAAGGGAGAGUGGUCUGGGGUUAGUAGUAGACUGUCAGGGGAGAGUGGUCUGAGGUUAGUAGUAGACUGUCAGGGGAGAGUGG